Molecule: long non-coding RNA, 795 nt
Organism: Stegostoma tigrinum
Lineage: Eukaryota; Metazoa; Chordata; Chondrichthyes; Orectolobiformes; Stegostomatidae
Exons: 3
Source: RefSeq, a predicted model, not a curated record
GGGACAUGGAGGGAGUGGAUCGUUAAGAUCACAGAGCGGAAUUUUCCAUGCGGAGUUAUCAAUUAAGGGGGCACACCGACCAAGAUUGUGCUGACUAUGAAGAACAUAUCACAGAAGGCUAGCCAAGUUGCCGAGGCUGGAGAGAAAGGCUGUAUGAUGACCAAUGAUGACGCUUCAUAGCAACCCAAGAAUGGGUCUUGGAUGGGGGCCAAAGAAGCUACUGUAUGGAAAUUUGGGGAGCCACUUCCUUCCUCUAUGUGACAUAUGAGAACGCUACCGAACAGUGGAUUCAACCCCAUGUGUUUAAUAGAGGGCUUUCAUCAUCCCAGCAAACUAGUCAGCCUUCAGGACAACAUCGACCACAACACCACAACCCUGCCAAGGCAACUUCUGCAAGAUGUGUCAGACAUUGACAUGGGUACUGCCAUCACGCGUGGGAACUGCACAUAGCACACACACCUAUAUGACUUAGCCAAUGUUGUCUAUCUCAUACACUGCAGGCAAGGAUGCCCUGAAGCACAGUAUAUUGGUGAGACCACGCAGACGCUAUGACAACAGAUGAAUGGGCACCUCGCAACAAUUGUCAGAUGGAAUGCUCCCUCCCAGUCGGGGAACACUUCAGGUCAGCCUCCGAUCUUUGGGUAAACAUCCUCUAAGACGGCCUUUGAGAUACAUAACAAUGCAGAACGUGAUGGCCAAAUUCCGUACCCACAAGGACAACCUCAACCAUGAUCUUGGGUUCAUGUCGCGCUACAUGUGACCUCACCAUACUGCUCUGUAUCUGUAAAACCUUCC